RNAcentral lists this ribosomal RNA (253 nucleotides) under uncultured bacterium. RNAcentral's name for it is "partial 16S ribosomal RNA". It matches the Rfam family "Bacterial small subunit ribosomal RNA", at positions 524 to 776 of the family's 1533-position model. The record is from RNAcentral.
UACGAAGGGGGCUAGCGUUGCUCGGAAUCACUGGGCGUAAAGCGCACGUAGGCGGGUUGUUAAGUCAGGGGUGAAAUCCUGGAGCUCAACUCCAGAACUGCCUUUGAUACUGAAGAUCUUGAGUUCGGGAGAGGUGAGUGGAACUGCGAGUGUAGAGGUGAAAUUCGUAGAUAUCGGGAGGAACACCAAUGGCGAAGGCAGCUCGCUGGGACGGUACUGACGCUGAGACGCGAAAGCGUGGGGAGCAAACAGG